CUGGCUCAGAACGAACGCUGGCGGCGCGUCUUAAGCAUGCAAGUCGAACGGUAAGGGAGAGCUUGCUCUCCCCUAGAGUGGCGGACU
This 87-nucleotide ribosomal RNA is filed under the name Treponema putidum. RNAcentral describes it as "partial 16S ribosomal RNA". Lineage: Bacteria; Pseudomonadati; Spirochaetota; Spirochaetia; Treponematales; Treponemataceae. The record is from RNAcentral.